UUCCAAAGUGUUCAGUACAACUUUGGGUAUCUUACCUGUGUUGUUAAUUAAACUUUGGGACAAAAGAUGUGGGAGACUGGCAUAAUAGUUACGGUAUUUGCCUUACAGACACAA
This is a small nucleolar RNA of Protopterus annectens (West African lungfish), 114 nucleotides long. NCBI's taxonomy places the organism in Eukaryota, Metazoa, Chordata, Ceratodontiformes, Protopteridae. The record is from RefSeq and is a predicted model, not a curated record.